GAUGAACGCUGGCGGCGUGCUUAACACAUGCAAGUCGAACGGUGAAGCAGAGCUUGCUCUGUGGAUCAGUGGCGAACGGGUGAGUAACACGUGAGCAAUCUGCCCCUGACUCUGGGAUAAGCGCUGGAAACGGCGUCUAAUACCGGAUACGAGCUGCGACCGCAUGGUCAGUAGCUGGAAAGAAUUUCGGUCAGGGAUGAGCUCGCGGCCUAUCAGCUUGUUGGUGAGGUAAUGGCUCACCAAGGCGUCGACGGGUAGCCGGCCUGAGAGGGUGACCGGCCACACUGGGACUGAGACACGGCCCAGACUCCUACGGGAGGCAGCAGUGGGGAAUAUUGCACAAUGGGCGCAAGCCUGAUGCAGCAACGCCGCGUGAGGGAUGACGGCCUUCGGGUUGUAAACCUCUUUUAGCAGGGAAGAAGCGAAAGUGACGGUACCUGCAGAAAAAGCGCCGGCUAACUACGUGCCAGCAGCCGCGGUAAUACGUAGGGCGCAAGCGUUAUCCGGAAUUAUUGGGCGUAAAGAGCUCGUAGGCGGUCUGUCGCGUCUGCUGUGAAAACCCGAGGCUCAACCUCGGGCCUGCAGUGGGUACGGGCAGACUAGAGUGCGGUAGGGGAGAUUGGAAUUCCUGGUGUAGCGGUGGAAUGCGCAGAUAUCAGGAGGAACACCGAUGGCGAAGGCAGAUCUCUGGGCCGUAACUGACGCUGAGGAGCGAAAGGGUGGGGAGCAAACAGGCUUAGAUACCCUGGUAGUCCACCCCGUAAACGUUGGGAACUAGUUGUGGGGUCCAUUCCACGGAUUCCGUGACGCAGCUAACGCAUUAAGUUCCCCGCCUGGGGAGUACGGCCGCAAGGCUAAAACUCAAAGGAAUUGACGGGGACCCGCACAAGCGGCGGAGCAUGCGGAUUAAUUCGAUGCAACGCGAAGAACCUUACCAAGGCUUGACAUAUAGAGGAAACGUCUGGAAACAGUCGCCCCGCAAGGUCUCUAUACAGGUGGUGCAUGGUUGUCGUCAGCUCGUGUCGUGAGAUGUUGGGUUAAGUCCCGCAACGAGCGCAACCCUCGUUCUAUGUUGCCAGCACGUAAUGGUGGGAACUCAUGGGAUACUGCCGGGGUCAACUCGGAGGAAGGUGGGGAUGACGUCAAAUCAUCAUGCCCCUUAUGUCUUGGGCUUCACGCAUGCUACAAUGGCCGGUACAAAGGGCUGCAAUACCGUGAGGUGGAGCGAAUCCCAAAAAGCCGGUCCCAGUUCGGAUUGAGGUCUGCAACUCGACCUCAUGAAGUCGGAGUCGCUAGUAAUCGCAGAUCAGCAACGCUGCGGUGAAUACGUUCCCGGGUCUUGUACACACCGCCCGUCAAGUCAUGAAAGUCGGUAACACCUGAAGCCGGUGGCCCAACCCUUGUGGAGGGAGCCGUCGAAGGUGGGAUCGGUAAUUAGGACUAAGUCGUAACAAGGUAGCCGUACCG
RNAcentral lists this ribosomal RNA (1467 nucleotides) under Microbacterium arborescens. RNAcentral describes it as "16S ribosomal RNA". It matches the Rfam family "Bacterial small subunit ribosomal RNA". The record is from RNAcentral. Lineage: Bacteria; Bacillati; Actinomycetota; Actinomycetes; Micrococcales; Microbacteriaceae.